GACGAACGCUGGCGGCGUGCUUAACACAUGCAAGUCGAACGGAAAGGCUCUGCUCUUGUGGGGUGCUCGAGUGCCGAACGGGUGAGUAACACGCGUGUAACCUGCCCCUGACUUUGGGAUAACUCAAGGAAACACGGGUUAUUACCGCAUAUGACCUCCUGCUGCAUGGGGGUGGAGGGAAAGUUUCGCCGGUUGGGGAUGGACUCGCGGGUUAUCAGCUUGUUGGUGGGGUGGUGGCUUACCAAUGCUUCGACGCGUAGCCGGCCUGAGAGGGUGACCGGCCACAAUGGGACUCAGGAACGGGCCAGAGUGCUACGUGAGGCAGGAGUGAGAGAUAUUGCACAAUGGGCGGAAGCCUGAUGCAGCAACGCCGCGUGGGGGAUGACGGCCUUCGGGUUGUAAACCGCUUUCGCCUGUGACGAAGCGUGAGUGACGGUAAUGGGUAAAGAAGCACCGGCUAACUACGUG
RNAcentral lists this ribosomal RNA (468 nucleotides) under uncultured bacterium. RNAcentral's name for it is "partial 16S ribosomal RNA". It matches the Rfam family "Bacterial small subunit ribosomal RNA", at positions 28 to 507 of the family's 1533-position model. The record is from RNAcentral.